GACAUCUAAGCAAAUCAACCAAACUACAAUUUACAACUUCAAUUUUGCCAUCUCUCUUUGGGUAAAAAGCUGAAGAAAAUUUUAAAUUAGCAUCAAAUAACUUCCAAAGCAUAGCUAUUAAAGGCUCAAUGUGCAUUAUAUUUAAUUAUCAUUUUGUUUGGAAAGUUGCAACUUUCUUGUGGAUUUGGAUUGCUUUUUGUGAAUGUUUGCAGAGAUGGUGCGCAGGUGUGCGCAAAAGAGAGAAACAAACAUAC
RNAcentral lists this unclassified non-coding RNA (254 nucleotides) under Hevea brasiliensis (rubber tree). Lineage: Eukaryota; Viridiplantae; Streptophyta; Magnoliopsida; Malpighiales; Euphorbiaceae. The record is from RNAcentral.